RNAcentral lists this long non-coding RNA (1411 nucleotides) under Homo sapiens (human). Its description in RNAcentral is "novel transcript". Lineage: Eukaryota; Metazoa; Chordata; Mammalia; Primates; Hominidae. The record is from RNAcentral.
GACUUCGCCGCUGCUGUAGUUCCCCGGCUGGAUGCGGUGACUGGUGCCAGUGCUCAGGCGCCCGCUGCCCUUGACCUCCCGCCCCGCGAGCCCUAACUCAGCGCAGGAGGACCGGCUGCCGCCGCCGCCGCCGCCAGAGCCUUGGCUGCCCAGUUGCCAGUCCUACCACGGUCGGAGGUAACCUUCCUGGCUCCAGUCACAUGGCCAGAUAAGGUGGUGUGUGUGGGCAUGAAUUAUGUGGACCACUGCAAAGAACAGAACGUGCCCGUGCCCAAGGAGCCCAUCAUCUUCAGCAAGUUUGCCAGCUCCAUCGUGGGGCCCUAUGAUGAGGUGGUCCUCCCACCACAGAGCCAGGAGGUAGAUUGGGAAGUGGAGCUGGCCGUGGUCAUUGGAAAGAAAGGCAAGCACAUCAAGGUGAAGUGGAAAAGUGGCUGCUGGGAAAAACCUUCGACACCUUCUGCCCUCUGGGCCCUGCCUUGGUGACCAAGGACAGUGUAGCAGAUCCACACAACUUAAAGAUCUGCUGUCGAGUGAAUGGGGAAGUGGUCCAGAGCAGCAACACCAACCAGAUGGUAUUCAAGACAGAGGACCUGAUAGCCUGGGUGUCCCAGUUUGUUACCUUUUACCCAGGGGAUGUCAUCCUGACUGGGACCCCCCCACCUCCACCCAGGUGUCGGUGUAUUCAGGAAACCUCCUGUCUUUCUCAAGGUCUCUGAAGGUCCAGACAGCACUGAUGGCGAGCUUUGGGUCCGCACACUCUGGAAAGAAGAGAGAAGUGAAGGCUCUAGGUAGGGAGAACAGAGAGCCACUGGGCACAGGCUUCUCUCCUCUUGUUUAAAGAAGCCCAGGGAGGGAUAGAGCUCUGACUGGACAGAAGACUGUACUCUGCAGCCUGCCUUCCUAGAGUUGGGUUGUCACUGUCCUGCAGGGGGCAGCAGCCACCAGCAAACACCACUGCCUGCAGGAGCCUGGGCUGACUGGUUGGGACUCACCGAAGAUCCCUUCUUCCUGGGCGGUGGCCUGCAGGAACUGGAACAGCUGCUCUGUGUAGCCCAACUCUGCAGAAGAGAGAAGACCUAGACCUGGCACCCAGCACAGACACAGCCUGCCUCGAGGACUGCAAGGGAACAAGGGCCUCACCAGUAUCGGGCAGCUGGCCCUGGCGGAGGAAGGCGGCAGCCUGUGCAAAGGCCUUGAGCAGCGGGCUGAGCAGGCGGCAGAGGAAAAGAAAGAAAUCUGGGCAGUGUGACUGCUGGCUGAGCUGGAGGGGACAGGCCGGGGUGAGUGCAGCUCCCCACCGCCUCCCUACCACCUCCCUCCAGGGGCAGCUUUUUGAAACACACCCUGAAGUACCGGCCGUCAGCCUCUCCGAAGUCAUCACUGUCACUAUCAGUAAAGUCCCCACUCGGUU